RNAcentral lists this ribosomal RNA (468 nucleotides) under uncultured bacterium. RNAcentral's name for it is "partial 16S ribosomal RNA". It matches the Rfam family "Bacterial small subunit ribosomal RNA", at positions 28 to 507 of the family's 1533-position model. The record is from RNAcentral.
GACGAACGCUGGCGGCGUGCUUAACACAUGCAAGUCGAACGGAACGGCUCUGCUUUUUUGGGGUGCGCGAGUGGCGAACGUGUGAGUAACACGUGAGUAACCUGCCCUUGACUUUGGGAUAACUUCAGGAAACUAGAGCUAAUACCGGAUAGGAGCUCCGGCUGCAUGGUGGGGGUUGGAUCGUUUCGGCGGUUGGGGAUGGACUCGCGGCUUUUCAGCUGGUUGGGGGGGUAGUGGCUUACCAAGGCUUUGAAGGGUAGCCGGCCUGAGAGGGGGGCCGGCCAGAUUGGGACUGAGAUACGGCCCAGACUCCUACGGGAGGCAGCGGUGGGGAAUAUUGUACAAUGGGAGGAAGCCUGAUGCAGCAACGCAGCGUGGGGGAAGACGGCCUUCGGGUUGUAAACCGCAUCCGCCUGUGACGAAGCGUGAGUGACGGUAAUGGGUAAAGAAGCACCGGCUAACUACGUG